Molecule: unclassified non-coding RNA, 213 nt
Filed under: Hevea brasiliensis (rubber tree)
Lineage: Eukaryota; Viridiplantae; Streptophyta; Magnoliopsida; Malpighiales; Euphorbiaceae
Source: RNAcentral
UUUCUUUCAGCUUCCAUAAGAUCCGUAGCUGAUGCUAGGGUGGGUGACACCAUAACACACUUCCAGAGAAAAGCAGAACAAUCAUUACCGGGAUACAAGGAGGCUACUCCAAUGGUUUUUUGUGGCUUGUUCCCUGUUGAUGCCGACCAGUUUAGUGAGCUACGUGAUGCGUUGGAGAAAUUGCAACUUAAUGAUGCUGCAUUGAAGUUUGAG